Molecule: non-coding RNA, 36 nt
Filed under: Trichobilharzia regenti
Lineage: Eukaryota; Metazoa; Platyhelminthes; Trematoda; Strigeidida; Schistosomatidae
Source: RNAcentral
ACGAGUCCCGAAUAGGACGAAAUGCGCAUCCUGGAU